AACGAACGCUGGCGGCAUGCCUAACACAUGCAAGUCGAACGAGACCUUCGGGUCUAGUGGCGCACGGGUGCGUAACGCGUGGGAACCUGCCCUUAGGUUCGGAAUAACUCCCCGAAAGGGGUGCUAAUACCGGAUAAUGUCUUCGGACCAAAGAUUUAUCGCCUUUGGAUGGGCCCGCGUUGGAUUAGCUAGUUGGUAGGGUAAAAGCCUACCAAGGCGACGAUCCAUAGCUGGUCUGAGAGGAUGAUCAGCCACACUGGGACUGAGACACGGCCCAGACUCCUACGGGAGGCAGCAGUGGGGAAUAUUGGACAAUGGGCGAAAGCCUGAUCCAGCCAUGCCGCGUGAGUGAUGAAGGCCUUAGGGUUGUAAAGCUCUUUUACCCGGGAUGAUAAUGACGGUACCGGGAGAAUAAGCUCCGGCUAACUCCGUG
Molecule: ribosomal RNA, 433 nt
Filed under: uncultured bacterium
Lineage: Bacteria
Description: partial 16S ribosomal RNA
Rfam family: Bacterial small subunit ribosomal RNA
Source: RNAcentral